This 401-nucleotide ribosomal RNA is filed under the name uncultured prokaryote. Its description in RNAcentral is "bacterial SSU rRNA". It matches the Rfam family "Bacterial small subunit ribosomal RNA", at positions 355 to 774 of the family's 1533-position model. The record is from RNAcentral.
UGGGGAAUUUUGCGCAAUGGGCGAAAGCCUGACGCAGCAACGCCGCGUGGGUGAUGAAGGUCUUCGGAUCGUAAAGCUCUGUCCUCAAGGAAGAUAAUGACGGUACUUGAGGAGGAAGCCCCGGCUAACUACGUGCCAGCAGCCGCGGUAAUAUGUAGGGGGCUAGCGUUAUCCGGAAUUACUGGGCGUAAAGGGUGCGUAGGUGGUUUCUUAAGUCAGAGGUGAAAGGCUACGGCUCAACCGUAGUAAGCCUUUGAAACUGGGAAACUUGAGUGCAGGAGAGGAGAGUGGAAUUCCUAGUGUAGCGGUGAAAUGCGUAGAUAUUAGGAGGAACACCAGUUGCGAAGGCGGCUCUCUGGACUGUAACUGACACUGAGGCACGAAAGCGUGGGGAGCAAACA